This 1127-nucleotide long non-coding RNA is filed under the name Gossypium barbadense (sea-island cotton). RNAcentral's name for it is "long non-coding RNA (GBAR_LNC014269)". The record is from RNAcentral. Lineage: Eukaryota; Viridiplantae; Streptophyta; Magnoliopsida; Malvales; Malvaceae.
UGACAUUUAUAUGGCUGAGGAAUUUGAUGUUCAUGUUGUGGGCAUCGACCUCUCCGUAAACAUGAUAUCCUUUGCUCUUGAACGAGCUACUGGACUGAAAUGCUCAGUGGAAUUUGAAGUUGCUGAUUGCCCCAAGAAGGUUUAUCCGGACAACAGUUUUGAUGUUAUCUACAGCCGUGACACUAUUCUACACAUUCAUGUAAGAGGACUAGAUAACCGAUAAGAAAAGUUUUCCUUUUAAAAUGAUUUAAAGAUUUAGAAGUUUAGCAUAGGCAUCAAAAUGAGAAUGGAAGUUGCUAUUUGAAGAACUGUAAAUCAUUUCGGCUUUUCUCGAUCCACUUUGUUAUUCUCAUAUUUUGCAUCUAAAAUCGACUUUCAGGACAAACCUGCACUGUUUAGAUCUUUCUACAAAUGGUUGAAGCCAGGAGGCAAACUCCUCAUAAGUGAUUACUGUAAAAGUUCCAAGACUCCAUCCACGGAGUUUGCUGCGUAUAUCAAGCAGAGAGGCUAUGAUCUUCAUGAUGUAAAAUCAUAUGGACAGGUAUAUUCAAAUUAAUAAUGAUUUGCUGUUUUCAUUUCAUACACUAGUUGAUCUGCCUUGUGUUAUUGUUUGCAGAUGCUUGAGGAUGCUGGUUUUGAUGUGAUUCUUGCAGAGGAUCGAACCGAUCAGGUUCAGAUAAGCCUAUCAAAUUGAUUUUUAGUUGGUCAUGUUUUUGUAUGGUUAUGAAAGGCUAAUGGAAUGUUGUUGUGGUGGUGGUGGUUUUAGUUCUUACAAGUUCUGCAGCGUGAAUUGAACCAAGUGGAGAAAGAGAAGGAUGCAUUCAUCUCUGACUUCUCUAAGGUGAGGUUUCAUUUUCCAUCAUCUUGUUAAACCUAUAGAGUUGGGAUGUAAGUAAUGGUACAUAAUAAUGUUUUGGUGAAAAUUCAGGAAGACUAUGAUGAAAUAGUUGGUGGAUGGAAGGCAAAGCUGAUAAGAAGCUCAUCAGGGGAGCAGAGAUGGGGCCUUUUCCUUGCCAAGAAGAAGAACUAAAUCCUGCUGCCUGCUCAUCUUUAUGUUAAAGAAGUGAAUAAAUAAAUGCAGUUAGGCAUAUGUGUGCAAGAAACUAUUUCCUGCUUGCAAUUAUCAG